This 117-nucleotide ribosomal RNA is filed under the name Seriola dumerili (greater amberjack). Lineage: Eukaryota; Metazoa; Chordata; Actinopteri; Carangiformes; Carangidae. The record is from RNAcentral.
GCUUACGGCCAUACCACUCUGAGCACGCCCGAUCUCGUCCGAUCUCGGAAGCCAAGCAGGUGGGAUUGGUUAGUACUUGGACGGCAGACCGCUUGGGAAUACCAGGUGCUGUAAGUU